GAAUAUAAUUUCUUGACCAUUAUAGAUAAAAUUUUUAAAAUAUGUUUAUUUGGCUUAGAUAAAAUUGUCAUGUAAGCACUUACUGUAAACCAAGCAUGACUGAAAGAAAUGGAAGUAGCUUAUUUUAACUUUCAUGGCUUCAGGCCCAGCAGAAUUUUCCAACUAAUUCAAGGAGGUUUCUUAAACAGAUGACAACAUCUCCUGUCAUUAGUACACAACAAAAAGUUUUGUAACAAGUGCCUUAGCCUAGCUUUGUUAAUGUUAUGAGGUCAUUCUGGCUAUGGAGGACAGCACUAGUACUGUGAAUUUGAGUGAAGUGCAAAAAUGUGUGGACAGACUACAUAUACAAUUGCAAAAAGGCACUAUUGGAAGUGUGAUUUAUUUAGAUUCUCUAAGAAGUAAUACAGCUAAAUUGCUACUUAUCAUUACUGGACAAGAAAAGGCAUGCAAAUAUUUAGUAUCAGAAGAAAUCAGAGGUUUUGAUGUACUAAUAUCAUUAUUGGAGAAUGUUGAAGAUGUGAAAGUUGUUAAUAAUGUUUGUCUGAUUUUAAAAGAAUUGCUAACAUCCAAAAAUGCUUUUCAAGAAAGAUAUCAUACAAUUCUAUCACUUAAUGGGAUUCAUGUUCUUUUGCGUGUACUUGUAAAUAGUAGUUCACAUUCUUCUGAUGAUGCUAUGGCCUCACUUUAUAAUAUUUUAUCAAAAUUAGGAAAUCAAGAUAGAAAAUUUGCAGUAAAAGCUCGUCUAAUGGGAACAUUACCUGUUGUCAUAAGUCAUGCUAAAUUUUAUAUUCAUAAACCAAAAGUUUUGCAACCAAUUCUUCGGUUUUGUCAAUGUGUUCUUAAUAAUAAUAUGAAUGCAACAGUUUUGGGAAAAGAAGGUUUAGUUUCAAUUUUAUUAUCAUUAAUUGAUUAUAAACAGAAGAAUUCUUUGAUUUUAUCAAGUGCAUUAGAUAUUAUGGCUGCAGCAACUCGCUCUAAGUUAAUUGUUCUUCAGAUAAUUCAGCUAAAUGGUUUAGGACAUUUAGUACAAAUGCUUGAACCAUCUAUUUGGUCUCGAUUAAAAUUAAAAGGUCCUAAGUUAGUGAAAGUUUUCCGGUGUGUUCUUCAGGUUCUUGUUCGUCUUUCUUAUACUAAGAAUGGAAGAGAAGCAUUAAUUGAAGUACAGGUUGCACCUUGUCUACUACAGUGGUGUCAAACAUUGCCAGUUGUAGGAGAAAACUGGGAUAAACUUGCAACACUAGCAAGCUUAAUUAUCCAAAGAUGCCUUCCACCUUUAGUUUUACCUGUUGCUUCAUUUUUAAGUCCUGUAUACUUUUCAAUUCCAGAAGAUAAUGAAUAUGUUGAAUGUGAGAGUUCAAUUUGUCCAGAUAAAGAAGUAUACAGUGGGAUGACGUUUGAUAUAUCUCCUUGUAAUUCAGAUCCAGAUUCAGAUUCAGAUGAUAGUGAAGAUUCCUUUCCAAGUGAAAAUAGUUCUAAAACAUUUGAAACAGAAGACAUGGAAUUUUAUAAAAAGUUUUUUCCAGAAUUAGAAUCUACAACAACUUUAGUUGAAAAAAAUGCAGUUUCACCGUGUGAAGAACACUUAAAAAAAUUUAUUCUUGAUUUACCUUCUUCUGUUUGUUAUGCACAGAAAAAUGGUACUCAUAAUGAAAUUUUUCCAACUAAAACAUUAUUUGCAAGUAAGUCUGAAAUGGAUAUAUCUAGUAUUGAAUUAUGCAGACAGUUAAAUCCAUCAACUUCAUUUCCACAAAUGGAUUUUUUGGAAAAAUGCAAUGAUAAAUCUUUAUCAAAUGAGAAAUAUCCUACAUUAAACUCAGAGUAUGCAAUACAGAUUCAGAGUACUUCUAAUGCACGUCCUAUGCCUGACAAGAAAAUCAAGCCUGAUUCCAGUAUGAGUAUUUCUGAAGUAUAUCAAAAGAUGGCUGAACAGACAAAUUCUGUAUAUCCUUUUGUAAAGUUGGCUUAUCCAGAUCUUGUUGGUGGUAUAGGUUGUGAUGAUAUUGAACCAUUGCAUCAAAAACAUCCAGGAUUAUACAGGUUAAAAGUUCUGAAUCACGCUGGAAACAGAUUAUUGGAACAUAUGGUAGUUCAACGAACUGUAUAUGAGGUUGAUGAUAUCAUAAAAAUAUCUGAAGACAAUAAAUAUGGAUUAUUUAUUUCAAAUGAUGAUGAAGAAAAAAUUGGAUGCUCUAUUACUACAACACAUUUACUAUUUGAAUCAUUAUUUGAGAGUGGAAACCUUAGAAAAGUGAUUCAGGUGAGAGAAAGAGAAUAUAAUUUGAUACUAAACCCUGAUUUGAACACAACUUAUCAUCAUCAAUGGUUUUAUUUUCAAGUUUCUGGUAUGGAAGCUCAAGUGCCAUAUACAUUUAAUAUUAUUAAUUGUGAAAAAACUAAUAGUCUUUUUAAUAAUGGAAUGAAUCCAUUAAUGUUUUCUGUUAAAGAAUUUUUAAUUAAUAGAAAAGGAUGGACAAGAACGGGUUGGGAUAUUUGUUAUUAUAGAAAUCAUUAUACCCGUGAUAAUUCUGUGGUUGAUAUUAUUAAAAGUAAGCCAUAUUAUACACUGACUUUCACUGUUAUUUUUCCGUACUCCAAGGAUAUCUGCUAUCUUGCUUAUCAUUAUCCUUAUACUUACUCACUUUUACAGACCCAUAUUUAUUUUUGGGAAAAAUCUGCAGAUCUAGAUUCUAUAUAUUUUAAAAAGGAUACUUUAUGUGAAUCAGUGGCAGGAAAUCCAGUUCCUAUAUUAACUAUUACUGCUUUACCUCAUAAUAAUUCAAGACAAUAUAUUUUUUUGACAAGUCGAGUACAUCCAGGAGAGAGCAAUUCAUCUUGGGUCAUGAAAGGAACUAUAGAUUUUAUAUUGAGUAAUAAUGAAGUUGCAAAAAAAUUAAGAGAAACAUUUAUAUUUAAAAUUGUGCCAAUGCUUAAUCCAGAUGGUGUGAUUAAUGGAUGUUACAGAUGUUCAUUAAGUGGUCAAGACUUGAAUCGGCAAUGGCUCUCUCCAAUUUCUACAAUCCAUCCUACUAUAUAUCAUACAAAAGCUCUAUUACAAUAUCUCCGAAACAUGAAUAUAAAACCUAUGUUAUAUUGUGAUUAUCAUGGGCAUUCCAGAAAACAGAAUGUCUUCCUUUAUGGUUGUAGCCCUUCUGAAAGUUGGUGGUCAAAUGAUAGAAAGAAAGCUGAUGAUCACAUAUACCAAGUCCUUCCAUUAAUUUUACAUCAUACUGCACCUGCCUUCAACAUCGAAAACUGUUCUUUUGCCGUAGAAAAAAGUAGAGAAUCAACUGGUCGUAUAACUGUUUGGAGACAGUUUGGUGUAGCUUUGAGUUACACCAUGGAAUGCACUUAUGGAGGAUGUAAUCAAGGAAUAUAUGAUGGUUAUCAUUUAGGAGUAGCUCAGAUAGAGGAAAUGGGAUCAAAGUUUUGUCAAGCACUAGGAAAACUUAUUCCAGAUGCAGAUAGUCCAAAGUCUUGUAGUGUGAUGAAUUCAUUUGAUUCAUCUUUGAUAGAUACAAUUAAGUAUGAGUAAUAAUUUAAUAAAGAAUAAUAAUUAUGAAAAAUUUCAAAAUGAAACAGAAAGGACAAAAGAGCCACACAAUUAAUUCUCUUCAAUAAAAAGCAGGAAAAUGAGUCUUCAAAUUUAAGUCCAUCAGAAUAUGAAGACGAUGACGACGACGAUUACGAUGAAGAAGGAGAAUUAUAAGCCUUCUUGAUAAGGAACUUGA
RNAcentral lists this unclassified non-coding RNA (3728 nucleotides) under Centruroides sculpturatus (bark scorpion). RNAcentral's name for it is "cytosolic carboxypeptidase 1-like, transcript variant X2". The record is from RNAcentral. Lineage: Eukaryota; Metazoa; Arthropoda; Arachnida; Scorpiones; Buthidae.